Molecule: ribosomal RNA, 496 nt
Filed under: uncultured bacterium
Lineage: Bacteria
Description: partial 16S ribosomal RNA
Rfam family: Bacterial small subunit ribosomal RNA
Source: RNAcentral
GACGAACGCUGGCGGCGUGCCUAAUACAUGCAAGUAGAACGCUGAAGGAGGAGCUUGCUUCUCUGGAUGAGUUGCGAACGGGUGAGUAACGCGUAGGUAACCUGCCUGGUAGCGGGGGAUAACUAUUGGAAACGAUAGCUAAUACCGCAUAAUAGCAGUUGUUGCAUGACAACUGUUUGAAAGGUGCAAUUGCACCACUACCAGAUGGACCUGCGUUGUAUUAGCUAGUUGGUGGGGUAACGGCUCACCAAGGCGACGAUACAUAGCCGACCUGAGAGGGUGAUCGGCCACACUGGGACUGAGACACGGCCCAGACUCCUACGGGAGGCAGCAGUAGGGAAUCUUCGGCAAUGGACGGAAGUCUGACCGAGCAACGCCGCGUGAGUGAAGAAGGUUUUCGGAUCGUAAAGCUCUGUUGUAAGAGAAGAACGAGUGUGAGAGUGGAAAGUUCACACUGUGACGGUAUCUUACCAGAAAGGGACGGCUAACUACGUGC